This 899-nucleotide ribosomal RNA is filed under the name Paraphaeosphaeria neglecta. RNAcentral describes it as "eukaryotic LSU rRNA". It matches the Rfam family "Eukaryotic large subunit ribosomal RNA", at positions 38 to 954 of the family's 3401-position model. The record is from RNAcentral. Lineage: Eukaryota; Fungi; Ascomycota; Dothideomycetes; Pleosporales; Didymosphaeriaceae.
GCAUAUCAAUAAGCGGAGGAAAAGAAACCAACAGGGAUUGCCCUAGUAACGGCGAGUGAAGCGGCAACAGCUCAAAUUUGAAAUCUGGCUCUCUUUGGGGGUCCGAGUUGUAAUUUGCAGAGGAUGCUUUGGCAUUGGCGGCGGUCUAAGUUCCUUGGAACAGGACAUCACAGAGGGUGAGAAUCCCGUACGUGGUCGCCUGCCCUUGCCGUGUAAAGCUCCUUCGACGAGUCGAGUUGUUUGGGAAUGCAGCUCUAAAUGGGAGGUAAAUUUCUUCUAAAGCUAAAUACUGGCCAGAGACCGAUAGCGCACAAGUAGAGUGAUCGAAAGAUGAAAAGUACUUUGGAAAGAGAGUCAAAAAGCACGUGAAAUUGUUGAAAGGGAAGCGCUUGCAGCCAGACUUGCCCGCAGUUGCUCACCUAGGCUUUCGCCUGGGGCACUCUUCUGCGGGCAGGCCAGCAUCAGUUUGGGCGGUUGGAUAAAGGCCUCUGUCACGUAUCUCCCUUCGGGGUGACCUUAUAGGGGAGGCGCAAUGCAACCAGCCCGGACUGAGGUCCGCGCAUCUGCUAGGAUGCUGGCGUAAUGGCUGUAAGCGGCCCGUCUUGAAACACGGACCAAGGAGUCUAACAUCUAUGCGAGUGUUUGGGUGUCAAGCCCGAGCGCGCAAUGAAAGUGAACGGAGGUGGGAACCCUUUGGGUGCACCAUCGACCGAUCCUGAUGUCUUCGGAUGGAUUUGAGUAAGAGCAUAGCUGUUGGGACCCGAAAGAUGGUGAACUAUGCUUGAAUAGGGUGAAGCCAGAGGAAACUCUGGUGGAGGCUCGCAGCGGUUCUGACGUGCAAAUCGAUCGUCAAAUUUGGGCAUAGGGGCGAAAGACUAAUCGAACCAUCUAGUAGCUGG